GAUUCUUCCCAAUUCUACCGCCACCAUUCUGGUUCAAGCUACCUGGUCCAGCUUUGACUUUACCUGGUUUUUUAUAGAAUGCUACAACUCCCUCUAGAAGCUUCUCUUGAUAAGGUAAAACAUGCACAGAGCAAAUUUCGGUUGUAUCCUAGAAAUGAUAGCCAUAUUGAGGAUACUGGUUACACCUGACGAAACAUCUCCAUGAAAGUUAAGCAUACACAGGAUCUCACUUUGUUACCCAGGCUAGAGUGCAAUGGUGUGACCACAGCUCACUGAAGCCUCAACCUCCUGAGCUCACUUUUAAGCAAUCCUCUCACUUCGGCCUCCUGAGUAGCUGGGCCUACAGGCAUGUACCAACACUCCCAGCAAGUUUUUCUUAUUUUUGUGAAGACAGAGUCUUGCAGUAUUGCCCAAGCUGGACUUGAACUCCUGGCCUCAAGCAAUCCUCCCAUCUAGGCCUCCCAAAGUGCUAGGAUUACAGGCAUGAGCCACUGUGCCAAGCAACACUUGCAGUUUUUAAGUGAAAAUGAUCCUGUAAAUAUAUAUAUGAAUAAAAUCUAGAAAGCUAUAUAAAUCAAAA
This 580-nucleotide long non-coding RNA is filed under the name Homo sapiens (human). RNAcentral describes it as "ZNF451 regulatory antisense RNA 1". Lineage: Eukaryota; Metazoa; Chordata; Mammalia; Primates; Hominidae. The record is from RNAcentral.